RNAcentral lists this small RNA (155 nucleotides) under Paenibacillus polymyxa. Its description in RNAcentral is "ydaO/yuaA leader". It matches the Rfam family "c-di-AMP riboswitch aptamer (ydaO/yuaA leader)", at positions 12 to 130 of the family's 134-position model. From Rfam's summary of the family: This family represents a conserved RNA structure found upstream of the ydaO and yuaA genes in Bacillus subtilis and related genes in other bacteria. Lineage: Bacteria; Bacillati; Bacillota; Bacilli; Caryophanales; Paenibacillaceae. The record is from RNAcentral.
GCUCAAACCAUGGGAAGUGCGGGGGACGUAACAACGGCAAUUAUUCCAAUGCGUCAUAUAGAUGUUGUGGAAUAUGCCUAGGGGUGAAUUGCACAAGCAUAGGGCUUCUCCUGAGUCCGAAUCCGACAGCUAACUUCGCAGGCAUAACAGAGGAG